Non-coding RNA from Monodelphis domestica (gray short-tailed opossum), 1280 nucleotides. The record is from RefSeq and is a predicted model, not a curated record. Lineage: Eukaryota; Metazoa; Chordata; Mammalia; Didelphimorphia; Didelphidae.
UCUCGAGGGCCCGUGAUCCAGGCCCGGGACUGGGUCAGUGGCGAGAGCAACGCCUUUGUCCCAGAGCCUCAGCCGCCCACCGAGGCUGCGGGGCUCUGCUCGCAGGGUCAGCGAGGGUCUGCACGGCUUUCCGCCCUCAGGGGAGACGAGAAAUAUUUGCUCCCUAAGGAUGGAAGAACACCCGAUAGGCAGUCACCUGCACGGCCUCCGGGCACGCUCGGAGAAUCCGGCCUUGGGGCGGUGCUUCUGUCGGAGCCCCUGGCAUUGCAAUUGGUGAGGCUGGCAGGUUGGUUGUCAGGAAGAGAGCAAAAUCGAGGAACUUCCUGGAGAUCUUGCCCGGGCCUCCAUUUCUCAUUUCUAAUCUACUCUCUUCUUUAACUGUCAAUUUUACUGCACCUGGAUUCAACUAGAUCAGAUUCAUUUACUUCAGACACAAUCUAUUCCACCAAGAAUCAAAUAAUCACCAACAGAAGACCUGUCUGAGUUUCCAAACACUUAGGUUGAAAUUUCAAACAUUUAAUUCUUUAAUCAGCAAGAGAGUAGGAGGCCUACCUACAAAGGUUAAGUGCUUAGACAAAAAGAAGAAGAGUUCUUUUCACUCAAUACUUUCCACAGACGGACAUACUGCAUGUCACAGUAAGAUGGACAGGCCACCUAAAAAGAGACCUCUCUUAAUCACAGUCCUACCAGCAAGUUUUUCCAUCUGAACCAAUGUGUCCUCAGUGGGUGCUCCCUCUAGGAGUUUUUCCGUCAGUCUACUGCCACAAGCUUUCAGGAGCCUGUUAAAAAAGGAAAAAGAUGAAUUUCUACCAAUUAACCCUAUUUAGCUAGUGUUUUUAUGGUGCUCAAUUUAACAUGUGUUACAAAAUUCAGCCAGUGUCAAAUAAGCAAUGAGCCACCCAUUUGAGAUUCACCACAUUCCCUAACACAUUACUGAAACCAAAUUUCAUGAUGGAUACUGACAUAAUACAAAGAUUACUAACAGUCUCAUUACUUUAAUGGAAGCAGUAAGACCUUGUCAUCAAAGGAUCAUUACCAAGCAAAGGAUGUAUGCAGACAUGCCCACAAAUUUUCGUCACUUGUCAAUGAUGUGAGAGAACGGGCUGCAUUGCCAUUCCUCUGGUGUAAAAACGGAGUAAAAGCUGUGUUCAUCCGCUGGGCACGUUGUGGACAGCCAUACUGUUCUGCCUCAAACACCUAAGGACACAAAAAUUCUGUUUACCAAUUCAAAAAACCCUGCUCUUCGGCCAGUUGGCCCAAUUCAAAUCUCAUUUAUUCUA